GAUGAAGAACGCAGCGAAAUGCGAUACGUAAUGUGAAUUGCAAAUUCAGUGAAUCAUCGAGUCUUUGAACGCACAUUGCGCCCCCUGGUAAUCCGGGGGGCAUGCCUGUCCGAGCGUCAUUGCUGCCCUCAAGCACGGCUUGUGUGUUGGGCCCCGUCCUCCGAUCCCGGGGGACGGGCCCGAAAGGCAGCGGCGGCACCGCGUCCGGUCCUCGAGCGUAUGGGGCUUUGUCACCCGCUCUGUAGGCCCGGCCGGCGCUUGCCGAUCAACCCAAAUUUUUUAUCCAGGUUGACCUCGAAUCAGGUAGGGAUACCCGCUGAACUUAAGCAUAUCAAUAAGCGGAGGA
RNAcentral lists this unclassified non-coding RNA (346 nucleotides) under soil metagenome. RNAcentral's name for it is "partial contains 5.8S ribosomal RNA, internal transcribed spacer 2, and large subunit ribosomal RNA". The stretch from base 1 to 119 matches the Rfam family "5.8S ribosomal RNA", at positions 35 to 154 of the family's 154-position model. The record is from RNAcentral.